This is an RNA transcript of Musa acuminata AAA Group (dessert banana), 870 nucleotides long. RefSeq lists it as uncharacterized. Lineage: Eukaryota; Viridiplantae; Streptophyta; Magnoliopsida; Zingiberales; Musaceae. The transcript is spliced from 6 exons. The record is from RefSeq and is a predicted model, not a curated record.
CGACGCAGCCGUUGUUGGUGUGCGUGGCUAACUCUGGGCUCACGCAGUCACCAAAUUUCCCCUCUCCGACGCGGCCGUGUUCCUCGCCUUCCGCCUCCUGGAAUCCGAAACCGCCACGCCACCAUAGAGAAUGUGGUGGGACGAAGAAUUCCGAGAAGAAGAAGAAGAAGAAGCGGAGGAAGAGGAGCAGCGAGAAUCUCCGGUCGAUUUCGAUUUCUUCUCCCUCCUGUCCAAGCCAAAGGAUUACUACAAGAUACUGGAAGUUGAUUAUGAUGCUACUGAAGAAAUAAUCCGUUCCAACUAUAUUCAUCUGGCAUUGAAAUGGCAUCCUGAUAAGAAAAAGGAGGAAAGUGCUACUUCAAGAUUUCAAGAAAUUAACGAGGCAUACAAAGUUUUAAGUGAUCCUGUCAAAAGGCGAGAGUAUGAUGAGAAGGGAGUCUGUGUAGUCCAAGACUAUAAUGCUAUUGAAUACCUGAACCGAUACAAGGGCCUGAUAUUAACAUGCAAUGGCCUUGGCAUUAGAUAUCCAAUAUGGUGAAUCAACUGCAAGCGGUGGAACAAUACUGGAGAAGAUAAGAGACUUAUCAUGUGAUUUCUCGACCAAGUGCGGUACAUUUCUCAAGUGGAUCAUAUAAAACGACUUGAUUGUUUGGGCAGGUUGGGACCAAUCAAGAAACCAAGCAUUCGACCAACAAAGCUCUGUGCUCGCAAGCCGCUGCCCUUCCUACGUCCGAAUCAUAUUCGAUGCUUUGUUUAAAAGGUAUAUAAGAAAGGGGGCAUAAACAUAUACAUCUCGUGAUGGAUUAUGUAGGAGGAGUCGAAUAAGAUGCCAACUUCUGGGAUCUAAUUUUAGUGGAAAAUCGAUGAACA